RNAcentral lists this ribosomal RNA (1594 nucleotides) under Escherichia coli. Its description in RNAcentral is "partial 23S ribosomal RNA". It matches the Rfam family "Bacterial large subunit ribosomal RNA", at positions 1353 to 2925 of the family's 2925-position model. The record is from RNAcentral. Lineage: Bacteria; Pseudomonadati; Pseudomonadota; Gammaproteobacteria; Enterobacterales; Enterobacteriaceae.
UCCUGUCCAACGUUAAUCGGGGCAGGGUGAGUCGACCCCUAAGGCGAGGCCGAAAGGCGUAGUCGAUGGGAAACAGGUUAAUAUUCCUGUACUUGGUGUUACUGCGAAGGGGGGACGGAGAAGGCUAUGUUGGCCGGGCGACGGUUGUCCCGGUUUAAGCGUGUAGGCUGGUUUUCCAGGCAAAUCCGGAAAAUCAAGGCUGAGGCGUGAUGACGAGGCACUACGGUGCUGAAGCGACAAAUGCCCUGCUUCCAGGAAAAGCCUCUAAGCAUCAGGUAACAUCAAAUCGUACCCCAAACCGACACAGGUGGUCAGGUAGAGAAUACCAAGGCGCUUGAGAGAACUCGGGUGAAGGAACUAGGCAAAAUGGUGCCGUAACUUCGGGAGAAGGCACGCUGAUAUGUAGGUGAAGCGACUUGCUCGUGGAGCUGAAAUCAGUCGAAGAUACCAGCUGGCUGCAACUGUUUAUUAAAAACACAGCACUGUGCAAACACGAAAGUGGACGUAUACGGUGUGACGCCUGCCCGGUGCCGGAAGGUUAAUUGAUGGGGUUAGCGGUAACGCGAAGCUCUUGAUCGAAGCCCCGGUAAACGGCGGCCGUAACUAUAACGGUCCUAAGGUAGCGAAAUUCCUUGUCGGGUAAGUUCCGACCUGCACGAAUGGCGUAAUGAUGGCCAGGCUGUCUCCACCCGAGACUCAGUGAAAUUGAACUCGCUGUGAAGAUGCAGUGUACCCGCGGCAAGACGGAAAGACCCCGUGAACCUUUACUAUAGCUUGACACUGAACAUUGAGCCUUGAUGUGUAGGAUAGGUGGGAGGCUUUGAAGUGUGGACGCCAGUCUGCAUGGAGCCGACCUUGAAAUACCACCCUUUAAUGUUUGAUGUUCUAACGUGGGCCCCUUACCGGGGUUGCGGACAGUGUCUGGUGGGUAGUUUGACUGGGGCGGUCUCCUCCUAAAGAGUAACGGAGGAGCACGAAGGUUGGCUAAUCCUGGUCGGACAUCAGGAGGUUAGUGCAAUGGCAUAAGCCAGCUUGACUGCGAGCGUGACGGCGCGAGCAGGUGCGAAAGCAGGUCAUAGUGAUCCGGUGGUUCUGAAUGGAAGGGCCAUCGCUCAACGGAUAAAAGGUACUCCGGGGAUAACAGGCUGAUACCGCCCAAGAGUUCAUAUCGACGGCGGUGUUUGGCACCUCGAUGUCGGCUCAUCACAUCCUGGGGCUGAAGUAGGUCCCAAGGGUAUGGCUGUUCGCCAUUUAAAGUGGUACGCGAGCUGGGUUUAGAACGUCGUGAGACAGUUCGGUCCCUAUCUGCCGUGGGCGCUGGAGAACUGAGGGGGGCUGCUCCUAGUACGAGAGGACCGGAGUGGACGCAUCACUGGUGUUCGGGUUGUCAUGCCAAUGGCACUGCCCGGUAGCUAAAUGCGGAAGAGAUAAGUGCUGAAAGCAUCUAAGCACGAAACUUGCCCCGAGAUGAGUUCUCCCUGACUCCUUGAGAGUCCUGAAGGAACGUUGAAGACGACGACGUUGAUAGGCCGGGUGUGUAAGCGCAGCGAUGCGUUGAGCUAACCGGUACUAAUGAACCGUGAGGCUUAACCUU